UACGUAGGGUGCGAGCGUUGUCCGGAAUUAUUGGGCGUAAAGAGCUCGUAGGCGGUUUGUCGCGUCGACUGUGAAAACCCGAGGCUUAACCUCGGGCCUGCAGUCGAUACGGGCAGACUAGAGUUCGGUAGGGGAGACUGGAAUUCCCGGUGUAGCGGUGAAAUGCGCAGAUAUCAGGAGGAACACCGAUGGCGAAGGCAGGUCUCUGGGCCGAUACUGACGCUGAGGAGCGAAAGCGUGGGGAGCGAACAGG
This 253-nucleotide ribosomal RNA is filed under the name uncultured bacterium. Its description in RNAcentral is "partial 16S ribosomal RNA". It matches the Rfam family "Bacterial small subunit ribosomal RNA", at positions 524 to 776 of the family's 1533-position model. The record is from RNAcentral.